RNAcentral lists this long non-coding RNA (238 nucleotides) under Ictidomys tridecemlineatus (thirteen-lined ground squirrel). RNAcentral describes it as "lncRNA (ENSSTOG00000032036.1)". The record is from RNAcentral. Lineage: Eukaryota; Metazoa; Chordata; Mammalia; Rodentia; Sciuridae.
UAGAAGGGGGCAAACUGCCUACAUGCACAUGGGGGCAGGAGGUGGGCAGCUCUGAGGUCCACCAGUGGGCAAAGCUCCAGGUCAGCUUCUAGGGAGGAGGCCUGGGAGGAGGAAGACGUGUGAUGAGCUGAAAGAAACUGGAAGGUGCCAGGGCUUGAGGGGAGAGACUGUCCCUAAAGCACCGUCAGGUAAGUUACCUCCCACUGAUUACCUGGAGCUGGGAAGCUUUAGGGAUGGA